GGUGAACGCUGGCGGCGGGCCUAAUACAUGCAAGUCGAGCGGAAACACGGUGAGAGUUUGCCCCUGACGGUAGCGGGGGGCGGGUGGGUAACGAGUGGAUAACCAUCCUAUAAUACUUGGGUGAUAUCGGGGAAACGGAUACAAUAACGGAGAAUAUAAUGAACCGCAGGGAUCAAUAGAGAAAGACGGUUUGGCUGUCACAUAGAGAUGGAUCCGCGCCGCAUUAGCUAGUUGGUAAGGUAACGGCUUACCAAGGCAACGAUGCGUAGCCGACCUGAGAGGGUGAUCGGCCACACUGGAACUGAGACACGGUCCAGACUCCUACGGGAGGCAGCAGUAGGGAACCUUGCGCAAUGGGCGAAAGCCUGACGGAGCAACGCCGCGUGAGUGAUGAAGGUCUUCGGAUCGUAAAACUCUGUUAUUAGGGAAGAACAAAUGUGUAAGUAACUAUGCACGUCUUGACGGUACCUAAUCAGAAAGCCACGGCUAACUACGUG
Molecule: ribosomal RNA, 497 nt
Filed under: uncultured bacterium
Lineage: Bacteria
Description: partial 16S ribosomal RNA
Rfam family: Bacterial small subunit ribosomal RNA
Source: RNAcentral